This is a long non-coding RNA of Corapipo altera (White-ruffed manakin), 468 nucleotides long. RefSeq lists it as uncharacterized. The transcript is spliced from 3 exons. Lineage: Eukaryota; Metazoa; Chordata; Aves; Passeriformes; Pipridae. The record is from RefSeq and is a predicted model, not a curated record.
GUUAGCCGGAGGGAUGAGCACCUGCGCCAGGCCCUGCCAUAUCUGCAGAGCCCACAGCAGCCCUUGAGAGAGGCAGCCGUCAGGUUCAUGGGGGUCGCCGCCUGGCACAUGCAAGACCUGCAGCCCGUCAUGAAGGCCCUGGAAGUCAUGACCGAAGAUGACUGCUCCUCCUACUCCACCAUGCAGACUGCAGUCUUGUCUGCUUUUCGACGGGCAGUAACUAAGUAAUCUUCUCCACCAAGAUAACCAAUGUGCCUGGAACAGCACCGGACAAGAGCAAAGACACCACUUCUCAGCGGUGCUGGGCUGGACCCAACUGAGCCUGACAGCAAGGCCAGGCAGCUCCUGGCCUCUCCAUCCCUAUGUACAGCUCCCUCCCUAUGUACAGCUCCCUCCCUUCCUGCCUAUUCCCUUCUCCUGCCCACAGUUCAUCCCUCCCCUUCCCCUUAGGUUAAGAAGAUUCAUCCC